UGCCGGAUCGUCCAAUGGUAGGACUGCGGCCUUUGGAGCCGUCUAUCUAGGUUCGAAUCCUAGUCCGGCAGCCA
This 74-nucleotide transfer RNA is filed under the name Candidatus Firestoneibacteriota bacterium. RNAcentral's name for it is "tRNA-Gln". It matches the Rfam family "tRNA". Rfam says of the family: Transfer RNA (tRNA) molecules are approximately 80 nucleotides in length. Their secondary structure includes four short double-helical elements and three loops (D, anti-codon, and T loops). Lineage: Bacteria; Candidatus Firestoneibacteriota. The record is from RNAcentral.